UGCCUCAGUAACGGCGGAGUGAAGCGGCAACAGCUCAAAUUUGAAAUCUGGCCCUAGGCCCGAGUUGUAAUUUGCAGAGGAUGCUUUUGGUGCGGUGCCUUCCAAGUUCCCUAGAACGGGACGCCAGAGAGGGUGAGAGCCCCGUACAGUUGGACACCAAGCCUUUGUAAAGCUCCUUCGACGAGUCGAGUAGUUUGGGAAUGCUGCUCAAAAUGGGAGGUAUAUUUCUUCUAAAGCUAAAUACCGGCCAGAGACCGAUAGCGCACAAGUAGAGUGAUCGAAAGAUGAAAAGCACUUUGAAAAGAGGGUUAAACAGCACGUGAAAUUGUUAAAAGGGAAGCGCUUGUGACCAGACUUGCGUCCGGUGAAUCACCCAGCUCUCGCGGCUGGGGCACUUCGCCGGCUCAGGCCAGCAUCAGCUCGCUGUCGGGGACAAAAGCUUCAGGAACGUAGCUCUCUUCGGGGAGUGUUAUAGCCUGUUGCAUAAUACCCUUCGGCGGGCUGAGGUACGCGCUCCGCAAGGAUGCUGGCAUAAUGGUCAUCAGCGACCCGUCUUGAAACACGGACCAAGGAGUCAACCUUAUGUGCGAGUGUUCGGGUGUCAAACCCCUACGCGUAAUGAAAGUGAACGCAGGUGAGAGCUUCGGCGCAUCAUCGACCGAUCCUGAUGUUCUCGGAUGGAUUUGAGUAAGAGCAUAUAGGGUUGGGACCCGAAAGAAGGUGAACUAUGCGUGUAUAGGGUGAAGCCAGAGGAAACUCUGGUGGAGGCUCGCAGCGGUUCUGACGUGCAAAUCGAUCGUCAAAUAUGCGCAUGGGGGCGAAAGACUAAUCGAACCUUCUAGUAGCUGGUUUCCGCCGAAGUUUCCCUCAGGAUAGCAGUGUUGAACUCAGUUUUAUGAGGUAAAGCGAAUGAUUAGGGACUCGGGGGCGCUAUAUUGCCUUCAUCCAUUCUCAAACUUUAAAUAUGUAAGAAGCCCUUGUUGCUUAAUUGAACGUGGGCAUUCGAAUGUAUCAACACUAGUGGGCCAUUUUUGGUAAGCAGAACUGGCGAUGCGGGAUGAACCGAACGCGAGGUUAAGGUGCCAGAGUAGACGCUCAUCAGACACCACAAAAGGUGUUAGUACAUCUUGACAGCAGGACGGUGGCCAUGGAAGUCGGAAUCCGCUAAGGACUGUGUAACAACUCACCUGCCGAAUGUACUAGCCCUGAAAAUGGAUGGCGCUCAAGCGUCUCACCCAUACCUCGCCCUCAGUGUAGAAACGAUGCGCUGAGGAGUAGGCGGACGUGGAGGUCGUGACGAAGC
RNAcentral lists this ribosomal RNA (1303 nucleotides) under Colletotrichum gloeosporioides. RNAcentral describes it as "partial large subunit ribosomal RNA". It matches the Rfam family "Eukaryotic large subunit ribosomal RNA", at positions 76 to 1409 of the family's 3401-position model. The record is from RNAcentral. Lineage: Eukaryota; Fungi; Ascomycota; Sordariomycetes; Glomerellales; Glomerellaceae.